GGCAGGGUUGUGAUGAGAGAAUGUAUCCACUCUCCAAUGCAAAAGUUGCGACGCCAGACUUUGACGGUGGCAUCUGAUACGUAUAUACCACAUUCUUUUACUUCAUCAUUAUUAGUGAAGUUCUUACUGAGUGAGAAAAGCACCUUCAAUUUACCAUAUGCAGAGAGACAGGGACAACCUAACAGAGUAUAAAAAACAAGUUCGAUAUGUUCUAGAUACAUUUUAUGAUGAAGGGCAACUUUCAUUAAGUACCGGGUCCAAAAUGGAGGAGGAUAUUAGUUGCGGUGCAAUAUUGCAGCAACAACUUU
Molecule: unclassified non-coding RNA, 308 nt
Filed under: Hevea brasiliensis (rubber tree)
Lineage: Eukaryota; Viridiplantae; Streptophyta; Magnoliopsida; Malpighiales; Euphorbiaceae
Source: RNAcentral